UAGAAGUUAGUGAACAAAAUGAUGGAUGGGUGAAGACGAGGACGCUUGAGUAAUACUGAGUCAACAUGCCUGCUUCCAAUUUGAACUGCUCGAAUGAAUUCCGCCUUGGAUGUUAGGGCUGGUGGUUGUAAGGUGAUAUUGUUUGAAUUCGGUUGUGUAUGCUCCAGGUAGACGGUUUCGAGGGGUGAUGUAGCUGCUGAAUGUAUAUGAGAAUAUGGUACUGACUGGUGGAUGGGGU
Vicia villosa (hairy vetch) is the source of this 238-nucleotide long non-coding RNA. RefSeq lists it as uncharacterized. The transcript has 3 exons. The record is from RefSeq and is a predicted model, not a curated record. Lineage: Eukaryota; Viridiplantae; Streptophyta; Magnoliopsida; Fabales; Fabaceae.